AUGGUUUGGCUUCUCGACGAUGUCUACGACACGAAACACCGGGCCUACAUGAUGCGCGAGAAGGAGAUGAAGCUUGAACCUUUGAAGAUUCGGUAUCACGGGGUCUCUGGUCCUGCCAUGCCUUACGAUGAGCGGUACACACCGUACAUCAAGCAGGCAGGACUACUCCCGUGGAUUCAGUUGGUCAGCCGGUCCACGCCGAAUCUGAACACUCCACUGAUGAUUGCUCUUAUCGGUAUGGCUCCUACUGAGGCUGAGGCUGAUGUAGAGGAGGGAGAAGAGAAGAAGAAGAGGGAAAGGAAAGCAGCCGGAGCUGCUUUCACGUGGAUUCAAACUCACUUUGCGACGUGCCCUACGGAUGCCACUGAUGAUGUGAUCCAGACACAUGCUCGUGUCUACAUGUGGAUCACAGAUAGUGCAGGCAUUGGUGGUAAUAUGCUUCUACUUUCUGUAUGGAGCUGGGAGCGUCUGCCUGUUGGACGCACGAAGAGCGUCAGGUUUAAUCCUUGGUAUGAAGAUGAACAUGACGAAUUACGGCGCCCCACUUGGGCUUACAAGUGGGAUGUGGUUUCCGAGAUGACGAACGAUGUCAAUCUCAUGUACCAGAAGUACGUUGCCGAGUUGGACACGAUUACGCCUGAGCAGGUGGAAUGGCAGCCAUAUGGCGCCGAUGAGAGACUUGGGUACACCCCGGAGUUUAGCAUCAACCCGAUGUGCUUGCGGGAUAGGGAUCUCUGGCUUAUGCGGUGCCCACUGAUAUGCAACUGGGCUGUUCAGUUUCAUUUGCCACAUCGCGUGUUUUGUCAGUUUGGUCUGUUCCAGCCUCACCCGCCGGAAUGGGUGGAUACGGACAAAGCACUUCAUAGGUUGGACAUGAGAAGGCAGCGGAAGAUAAAGGACUGGGACAAGCAUCAUGCUUCGUAUGUUACCCGCUUCCAGCUUUGCGUGGAGCAAGCUCGUAGCAGUGCACGCGCCCAGCUUCUUGAGAUAUGCCCGCCAGCAUAUAAUGAGGAUAUUCUUGAAGAACCCGUAAACUUUGAGGAUCUAUCGAAGGGGAAGUACAACAGAGAUGUCAGGGUAGGGCAAGGAGUCCCUGCUGUUCCGGUGAUUAACUAUGUGCGCACCGAGAUCAAGAAAGCAGCUGAUGAGAGCCAGUCUAUUCUCGAGAACACACCGGUUGGAAAAGGCAAUGAUGAUGGUUCACUACGAGCAUUCCUCAAGCGUCAGGCCAAGAAGUUAAGGCGGUUAUCGAAUCUUCUCGGUUGCCGUGAUCCUGAAUUUGAUGAACCAUCUGCCUCUAGGUCUGGUACACCAUCAGACCCCUCAUCUCACCAUCAGGGGGACGAUGUGAGUUCCUCAUAUGCUUAUCUGGAUGAUGAUGGCGUGGUCACCCAAGAGGGCCAUGAGCUUGAUGAUGACAUGACUUUGGCGGACGCUCAACUUCGGUCCCCAUAUGUGUUCAAGCCUAGGCAGCCUAGAUGCUGGUACACGCCCAACGACUUUGACAACAGAGGCAACCCAAAGGUGGUCGUAGGGACCUCGCGGAUGGCUAGCUUGGAUGAUGAGGCGGAGGCGGAGGCGGAGGAGGAAGUGCAGGAAGAGGAGCCUCGUCCACCCAGGAAGAAGAAGAUUGCCUGCAGUCUAGCACCAGCCAACCCUAGAGCACAACCUUGGAGCUGGCUUGAUUCGUCGAGCCGUCGCCGUAGAUCUCCUGGCAUUGAUCUGUUUCUCUACUUUGUGAUCCUGUGGAUACGUGGGCAUGAUUUCUGCGAUCUAUUGUGA
This 1782-nucleotide ribosomal RNA is filed under the name Triticum aestivum (bread wheat). RNAcentral's name for it is "partial small subunit ribosomal RNA". The record is from RNAcentral. Lineage: Eukaryota; Viridiplantae; Streptophyta; Magnoliopsida; Poales; Poaceae.